RNAcentral lists this ribosomal RNA (308 nucleotides) under uncultured bacterium. RNAcentral's name for it is "partial 16S ribosomal RNA". It matches the Rfam family "Bacterial small subunit ribosomal RNA", at positions 505 to 807 of the family's 1533-position model. The record is from RNAcentral.
GAGACAGCAGCAGCCGCGGGAACACAGAGGAUGCAAGCGUUAUCCGGAAUGAUUGGGCGUAAAGCGUCUGUAAGUGGCUUUUCAAGUCCGCCGUCAAAUCCCAGGGCUCAACCCUGGACAGGCGGUGGAAACUACCAAGCUGGAGUACGGUGGGGGCAGAGGGAAUUUCUGGUGGAGCGGUGAAAUGCGUUGAGAUCGGAAAGAACACCAACGGCGAAAGCACUCUGCUGGGCCGACACUGACACUGAGAGACGAAAGCUAGGGGAGCAGAUGGGAUUAGAUACCCCCGUAGUCCCUGUCUCUUAUAC